This 382-nucleotide ribosomal RNA is filed under the name uncultured eukaryote. RNAcentral's name for it is "partial 18S ribosomal RNA". It matches the Rfam family "Eukaryotic small subunit ribosomal RNA", at positions 592 to 976 of the family's 1831-position model. The record is from RNAcentral.
CAAUAGCGUAUAUUAAAGUUGUUGCAGUUAAAAAGCUCGUAGUUGGAUUUCUGGCAGGAGCGUCCGGUCUCACACUCAGUGCGGGAACUUGGAUGUCUCUGGCCAUCUUUGGGGAUAUCCUGUUUGGCAUUAAGUUGUCGGGCAGGGGAUACCCAUCGUUUACUGUGAAAAAAUUAGAGUGUUUAAAGCAGGCUUAUGCCGUUGAAUAUAUUAGCAUGGAAUAAUAAGAUAGGACUUUGGUACUAUUUUGUUGGUUUGCGCACCAAAGUAAUGAUUAAUAGGGACAGUUGGGGGUAUUCGUAUUCCGUUGUCAGAGGUGAAAUUCUUGGAUUUACGGAAGACGAACUACUGCGAAAGCAUUUACCAAGGAUGUUUUCAUUAA